UCAGUGAAUGAGCAGGUGAACAAAUGAGC
Molecule: non-coding RNA, 29 nt
Filed under: Mus musculus (house mouse)
Lineage: Eukaryota; Metazoa; Chordata; Mammalia; Rodentia; Muridae
Source: RNAcentral